GACGAACGCUGGCGGCGUGCUUAACACAUGCAAGUCGAACGGAAAGGCCCUGCUUUUGUGGGGUGCUCGAGUGGCGAACGGGUGAGUAACACGUGAGUAACCUGCCCUUGACUUUGGGAUAACUUUAGGAAACUGGGGCUAAUACCGGAUAGGAGCUCCUGCUGCAUGGUGGGGGUUGGAAAGUUUCGGCGGUUGGGGAUGGACUCGCGGCUUAUCAGCCUGUUGGUGGGGUAGUGGCUUACCAAGGUUUUGACGGGUAGCCGGCCUGAGAGGGUGACCGGCCACAUUAGGACUGAGAUACGGCCCAGACUCCUACGGGAGGCAGCAGUGGGGAAUAUUGCACAAUGGGCGGAAGCCUGAUGCAGCAACGCCGCGUGCGGGAUGACGGCCUUCGGGUUGUAAACCGCUUUCGCCUGUGACGAAGCGUGAGUGACGGUAAUGGGUAAAGAAGCACCGGCUAACUACGUG
This 468-nucleotide ribosomal RNA is filed under the name uncultured bacterium. RNAcentral describes it as "partial 16S ribosomal RNA". It matches the Rfam family "Bacterial small subunit ribosomal RNA", at positions 28 to 507 of the family's 1533-position model. The record is from RNAcentral.